Molecule: ribosomal RNA, 271 nt
Filed under: Aeromonas rivipollensis
Lineage: Bacteria; Pseudomonadati; Pseudomonadota; Gammaproteobacteria; Aeromonadales; Aeromonadaceae
Description: partial 16S ribosomal RNA
Rfam family: Bacterial small subunit ribosomal RNA
Source: RNAcentral
UCCAGACUCCUACGGGAGGCAGCAGUGGGGAAUAUUGCACAAUGGGGGAAACCCUGAUGCAGCCAUGCCGCGUGUGUGAAGAAGGCCUUCGGGUUGUAAAGCACUUUCAGCGAGGAGGAAAGGUUGGCAGCUAAUAUCUGUCAGCUGUGACGUUACUCGCAGAAGAAGCACCGGCUAACUCCGUGCCAGCAGCCGCGGUAAUACGGAGGGUGCAAGCGUUAAUCGGAAUUACUGGGCGUAAAGCGCACGCAGGCGGUUGGAUAAGUUAGAU